GACGAACGCUGGCGGCGUGCUUAACACAUGCAAGUCGAACGGAAAGGCCCUGCUUUUGUGGGGUGCUCGAGUGGCGAACGGGUGAGUAACACGUGAGUAACCUGCCCUUGACUUUGGGAUAACUUCAGGAAACUGGGGCUAAUACCGGAUAGGAGCUCCUGCUGCAUGGUGGGGGUUGGAAAGUUUCGGCGGUUGGGGAUGGACUCGCGGCUUAUCAGCUUGUUGGUGGGGUAGUGGCUUACCAAGGCUUUGACGGGUAGCCGGCCUGGGAGGGUGACCGGCCACAUUGGGCCUGAGAUGCGGCCCAGACUCAUAAGGGAGGCAGGAGUGGGGAAUAUUGCACAAUGGGCGGAAGCCUGAUGCAGCAACGCCGCGUGCGGGAUGACGGCCUUCGGGUUGUAAACCGCUUUCGCCUGUGACGAAGCGUGAGUGACGGUAAUGGGUAAAGAAGCACCGGCUAACUACGU
RNAcentral lists this ribosomal RNA (467 nucleotides) under uncultured bacterium. Its description in RNAcentral is "partial 16S ribosomal RNA". It matches the Rfam family "Bacterial small subunit ribosomal RNA", at positions 28 to 506 of the family's 1533-position model. The record is from RNAcentral.